RNAcentral lists this small RNA (157 nucleotides) under Chinchilla lanigera (long-tailed chinchilla). RNAcentral describes it as "TUC338 (ENSCLAG00000018789.1)". The record is from RNAcentral. Lineage: Eukaryota; Metazoa; Chordata; Mammalia; Rodentia; Chinchillidae.
UUGAAGGCGUGGAGACUGAAGUCCUCUGUGUCCACAGACCAGGUAUGGCACAGGCAGCGGCAGUGCAGCGUCCACUGCCACCACGUGCCUCACCUUGCCACGGGGCCGUGUCAGGGAGAGGGCUGUCAGUCUCCAUGCCCUUCAAUCCUCGGCUGCC